UAGGGAAUCUUCCGCAAUGGACGCAAGUCUGACGGAGCAACGCCGCGUGAGUGAAGAAGGUUUUCGGAUCGUAAAACUCUGUUGUUAGAGAAGAACAAGUGCUAGAGUAACUGUUAGCGCCUUGACGGUAUCUAACCAGAAAGCCACGGCUAACUACGUGCCAGCAGCCGCGGUAAUACGUAGGUGGCAAGCGUUGUCCGGAUUUAUUGGGCGUAAAGCGAGCGCAGGCGGUUCCUUAAGUCUGAUGUGAAAGCCCCCGGCUCAACCGGGGAGGGUCAUUGGAAACUGGGGAACUUGAGUGCAGAAGAGGAGAGUGGAAUUCCAUGUGUAGCGGUGAAAUGCGUAGAUAUAUGGAGGAACACCAGUGGCGAAGGCGACUCUCUGGUCUGUAACUGACGCUGAGGCUCGAAAGCGUGGGUAGCAAACAGGAUUAGAUACCCUGGUAGUCCACGCCGUAAACGAUGAGUGCUAGGUGUUAGACCCUUUCCGGGGUUUAGUGCCGCAGCUAACGCAUUAAGCACUCCGCCUGGGGAGUACGACCGCAAGGUUG
This 550-nucleotide ribosomal RNA is filed under the name uncultured bacterium. RNAcentral describes it as "bacterial SSU rRNA". It matches the Rfam family "Bacterial small subunit ribosomal RNA", at positions 355 to 896 of the family's 1533-position model. The record is from RNAcentral.